GGCUUGGCGGCCAAAGUGCGGUGGACCCACCUGAAACCAUCCCGAACUCAGAAGUGAAACGCCGUUGCGCCGAGGGUAGUGUGGGGUUUCCCCAUGUGAGACUAGGACACCGCCAGGCUC
This 120-nucleotide ribosomal RNA is filed under the name Candidatus Williamhamiltonella defendens. RNAcentral also lists the same sequence under 1 other name. Lineage: Bacteria; Pseudomonadati; Pseudomonadota; Gammaproteobacteria; Enterobacterales; Enterobacteriaceae. The record is from RNAcentral.